RNAcentral lists this ribosomal RNA (465 nucleotides) under Vreelandella stevensii. Its description in RNAcentral is "partial 16S ribosomal RNA". It matches the Rfam family "Bacterial small subunit ribosomal RNA", at positions 338 to 795 of the family's 1533-position model. Lineage: Bacteria; Pseudomonadati; Pseudomonadota; Gammaproteobacteria; Oceanospirillales; Halomonadaceae. The record is from RNAcentral.
CCUACGGGUGGCUGCAGUGGGGAAUAUUGGACAAUGGGGGGAACCCUGAUCCAGCCAUGCCGCGUGUGUGAAGAAGGCCCUCGGGUUGUAAAGCACUUUCAGUGAGGAAGAACGCCUGGUGGUUAAUACCCAUCAGGAAAGACAUCACUCACAGAAGAAGCACCGGCUAACUCCGUGCCAGCAGCCGCGGUAAUACGGAGGGUGCGAGCGUUAAUCGGAAUUACUGGGCGUAAAGCGCGCGUAGGUGGCUUGAUAAGCCGGUUGUGAAAGCCCCGGGCUCAACCUGGGAACGGCAUCCGGAACUGUCAAGCUAGAGGGCAGGAGAGGAAGGUAGAAUUCCCGGUGUAGCGGUGAAAUGCGUAGAGAUCGGGAGGAAUACCAGUGGCGAAGGCGGCCUUCUGGACUGACACUGACACUGAGGUGCGAAAGCGUGGGUAGCAAACAGGAUUAGAUACCCGUGUAGUC